Molecule: non-coding RNA, 84 nt
Organism: Pelobates cultripes (western spadefoot toad)
Lineage: Eukaryota; Metazoa; Chordata; Amphibia; Anura; Pelobatidae
Source: the annotation of a GenBank genome assembly
UUGUAUAGUGUGUGUAUAUAAUGCAGUGUGUUUGUGUAGUGUGCAUUAUAUAAACACACUGCAUUAUAUACACACACUAUACAA